This 207-nucleotide unclassified non-coding RNA is filed under the name Hevea brasiliensis (rubber tree). The record is from RNAcentral. Lineage: Eukaryota; Viridiplantae; Streptophyta; Magnoliopsida; Malpighiales; Euphorbiaceae.
GGAAUCAUUUCUCCAUGAAAGAGAUCAUAUUUAACAUUUUUGUUUCACUUCUAGCAGGGUUUCUUUAAACUUAUGAAGAAUGAUAUCAUUCAACUUUGGCUAACAUGUGAACUCAAUUUUAUGAAGAUACACAUACACCUCUUGCUGUGAAAAUUAAAAACCUUGUUCUUUAUCAAUAAUGCCAACUCAAGCCCAUGUCCCUAAUAU